AUUUAGUAAAUAAUAAUUUAAUAAAUGUAAAUUGAUAUCUUUUAAUUCAUAAAAUAUUUAUAAAUAGAAAUUACUUUUUUAUAGUAACUUGAUUGUUAUUUAAAUACUGUAUUGUGAUAUAAAUAGAUAUAUUAUGAAUAAACUUAUGAUUAAUGAAAUCGCAUAAAGGAGCUAAUAUAAAGGCGGAUCCAAUGUUUUGUGGGUAUGCAAACAAAAAUAUUAAAAGUGCAAAAGCAAAAGUUCAAAAGUGGGGGGACAACUUCACACUGGUUAAGAAAUUACAUAUGAUCUUUAUAUUGAACAUUAGAAAAUUAUUGCAGAAAUAUAGGAAUUUGAUGGUAACAAUGUAUUUGUUAAGAUAUAUAAAAUGAGUAAUAUACAGAUUUUUUUGUUCAGUUUGAAUUAACUAGAAAGGUUUAUUAUUAUAAUGCUAUGAAGAUUCACGAUAACAAUUCUGCAAUAGGUCAUGUAACCCCACAGAUGAUGUCAUUGGAUAUAUAAGAUUAUUAAGGGAAUAAUUCUGCAUUGGUCACAGAAUCACAAAGAUAACAUCAUUUUAAUGUAAUAAUAGUUGGUAUGAUGCCAUAAAAUGUAUAUUGUCAAUAUUGUAUGGUAUAAAUAUGUAUUAACAUAAGAUAUCAUGAUGAUAUAGCAAUUGAUAGGAUUAUUUAUAUACACAUAGGACAAAACUGUGUCAGAAGUUCCUGGCUAAUGUCAGACAUUAUGACUAUUUUUAUAAUGUGUUUAGCUGUUUCAUUUCAUUAUAGAUACUAGUUUGAAUUCAGGAAUUCAGAUGUGGUCAUCAUUAUUGGAACAUCAUAUGGUGAUGAUAAUUUAUAAUUGUCAUUAUCAUAAAUUGAUUAGUUGACCUGCAAUUUUUUGCAACAGUUUAUCUCUCU
RNAcentral lists this long non-coding RNA (899 nucleotides) under Androctonus crassicauda. Lineage: Eukaryota; Metazoa; Arthropoda; Arachnida; Scorpiones; Buthidae. The record is from RNAcentral.